This is a non-coding RNA of Oncorhynchus kisutch (coho salmon), 75 nucleotides long. The record is from the annotation of a RefSeq genome assembly. NCBI's taxonomy places the organism in Eukaryota, Metazoa, Chordata, Actinopteri, Salmoniformes, Salmonidae.
GGUGCUGUGGCUUAGUUGGUUAAAGCGCCUGUCUAGUAAACAGGAGAUCCUGAGUUCAAAUCUCAGGCAGUACCU